GGGGGUGACAGUUUCGACAAAGAAUGUUUUUGAUUGUACGCGACGCCGAGCGUGUUCGCGGACUCGUAAAAAACGUGAACGACUUGAAAGUGCCAAGAAUAAAAGCACCGGUGGAGUUGCCUCUCCUUAUUUUGGAGAACGUAGCUUUGCUUUCGCUUACGCUUAAGUGAGCGACGCAUCCAGGGGAGUACUCCUGAUAGGCCCUUGCGAUGUGUCAUUUCUUCAGGAUAGGAGCGUACCGCCUGGAUACGCCACCAAAACCAAACAGGUGUAGCGCGUGAAGAUUUCGUUUUUCUUCUACUUCAUGCGUGAAUCAUCAAGAAAAACUACGCACCGUAGAUCCACGAUCAUUACUUCUUUGGACGGGAGUUCAAUCUCCCCACCUCCACCA
Molecule: transfer-messenger RNA, 391 nt
Filed under: Candidatus Lloydbacteria bacterium RIFCSPHIGHO2_02_FULL_50_13
Lineage: Bacteria; Candidatus Lloydiibacteriota
Also listed under: 1 other name
Rfam family: transfer-messenger RNA
About the family: Bacterial tmRNA, also known as 10Sa RNA or SsrA, is named for its dual tRNA and mRNA-like properties.
Source: RNAcentral